Engraulis encrasicolus (European anchovy) is the source of this 346-nucleotide long non-coding RNA. RefSeq lists it as uncharacterized. Lineage: Eukaryota; Metazoa; Chordata; Actinopteri; Clupeiformes; Engraulidae. The transcript is spliced from 3 exons. The record is from RefSeq and is a predicted model, not a curated record.
CAACUGUCCAUACGUACACUUGGACCUCACUUGGACACACUGGAUAAUACCCUGGAUGUGCACCCUUCAACUGUUCCAUGCGGCUUGUAACCUAUAAGUAACAGACCAGCCAGAUCGGAUUCAGCCAGAAACAGAAGUCUACUGUCGAACUGACCCACCUGUGACCUGAAGAAUGGAACCUGACUGAAAGUGCUGACCUGGUAUACAGCUAUCUAUGAGCCCUCCAUUUCAAUGAGAAUGCUGCACGAGACCAGGCCACCACGUCCACAGAUCCCCUCUACAGGAUCCAUUACUCCAAUGCCAUGAAGAGGGAGGCAAGAGUGAAGCCCGUAUAAAAUGAGGCAAC